RNAcentral lists this unclassified non-coding RNA (209 nucleotides) under uncultured fungus. RNAcentral's name for it is "sequence contains ITS1, 5.8S rRNA gene". The record is from RNAcentral. Lineage: Eukaryota; Fungi.
GUAUUAACUUUUAUUUCGACCAUUCAAAGGUCUAUUAGACAUUCUUUAAACUUUUUACAGUGUGUGUAUAAAACAUAGACCCGGACUUUAACAUCCAGGACUACAAUAAGUGCACAGGUGGAUUGAAAAGGUGGAGUGCACAUGCCCCUAGAGGCCAGCAGCAUCCUAAGGAUUCGAUAAUGAUCCUUCCGCAGGUUCACCUACGGAAA